AGAGUUUGAUCCUGGCUCAGAACGAACGCUAGCGGCGCGCCUAACACAUGCAAGUCGCGGGAGAAUAGCGGGGCAACUCGCUUAGUAAACCGGCGCACGGGUGAGUAGUACGUGGGUAAUCUGCCUCGAUGACGGGAAUAACGUUCCGAAAGGAGCGCUAAUGCCCGAUAAGACCACGGCGGCUUCGGUCGCUGCGGUAA
RNAcentral lists this ribosomal RNA (200 nucleotides) under uncultured bacterium. RNAcentral's name for it is "partial 16S ribosomal RNA". It matches the Rfam family "Bacterial small subunit ribosomal RNA", at positions 8 to 203 of the family's 1533-position model. The record is from RNAcentral.